Molecule: ribosomal RNA, 301 nt
Filed under: uncultured bacterium
Lineage: Bacteria
Description: partial 16S ribosomal RNA
Rfam family: Bacterial small subunit ribosomal RNA
Source: RNAcentral
CAGUAGCCGCGGGAAUACGGAGGGUGCAAGCGUUAAUCGGAAUUACUGGGCGUAAAGCGCACGCAGGCGGUUUGUUAAGUCAGAUGUGAAAUCCCCGAGCUUAACUUGGGAACUGCAUUUGAAACUGGCAAGCUAGAGUCUUGUAGAGGGGGGUAGAAUUCCAGGUGUAGCGGUGAAAUGCGUAGAGAUCUGGAGGAAUACCGGUGGCGAAGGCGGCCCCCUGGACAAAGACUGACGCUCAGGUGCGAAAGCGUGGGGAGCAAACAGGAUUAGAUACCCCAGUAGUCCCUGUCUCUUAUAA